RNAcentral lists this transfer RNA (75 nucleotides) under Anaerolineae bacterium. RNAcentral's name for it is "tRNA-His". It matches the Rfam family "tRNA". From Rfam's summary of the family: Transfer RNA (tRNA) molecules are approximately 80 nucleotides in length. Their secondary structure includes four short double-helical elements and three loops (D, anti-codon, and T loops). Further hydrogen bonds mediate the characteristic L-shaped molecular structure. tRNAs have two regions of fundamental functional importance: the anti-codon, which is responsible for specific mRNA codon recognition, and the 3' end, to which the tRNAs corresponding amino acid is attached (by aminoacyl-tRNA synthetases). tRNAs cope with the degeneracy of the genetic code in two manners: having more than one tRNA (with a specific anti-codon) for a particular amino acid; and 'wobble' base-pairing, i.e. permitting non-standard base-pairing at the 3rd anti-codon position. The record is from RNAcentral. Lineage: Bacteria; Bacillati; Chloroflexota; Anaerolineae.
GUGCCCAUAGUUCAAUUGGCGGAACGUCUGACUGUGGAUCAGAAGGAUGUGGGUUCAAGACCCACUGGGCACCCA